This 301-nucleotide ribosomal RNA is filed under the name uncultured bacterium. RNAcentral describes it as "partial 16S ribosomal RNA". It matches the Rfam family "Bacterial small subunit ribosomal RNA", at positions 509 to 808 of the family's 1533-position model. The record is from RNAcentral.
CAGUAGCCGCGGGAAAACGAAGGGGGCUAGCGUUGCUCGGAAUUACUGGGCGUAAAGGGCGCGUAGGCGGACAGUUCAGUCGGGGGUAAAAGCCCGGGGCUCAACCUCGGAAUUGCCUUCGAUACUAGCUGUCUUGAGUAUGAGAGAGGUGUGUGGAACUCCGAGUGUAGAGGUGAAAUUCGUAGAUAUUCGGAGGAACACCAGUGGCGAAGGCGACACACUGGCUCAUUACUGACGCUGAGGCGCGAAAGCGUGGGGAGCAAACAGGAUUAGAGACCCGAGUAGUCCCUGUCUCUAUACA